Molecule: ribosomal RNA, 404 nt
Filed under: uncultured bacterium
Lineage: Bacteria
Description: bacterial SSU rRNA
Rfam family: Bacterial small subunit ribosomal RNA
Source: RNAcentral
GGGGAAUAUUGCGCAAUGGAGAAGAACUCUGACGCAGCAAUACCGCGUGAGCGAAGAAGGUCUUCGGAUCGUAAAGCUCUGUUAUCAGGGAAGAAGAAAAUGACGGUACCUGAUGAGCAAGUCCCGGCUAACUACGUGCCAGCAGCCGCGGUAAUACGUAGGGGACAAGCGUUGUCCGGAAUCACUGGGCGUAAAGGGCGCGCAGGCGGUGAUUUAAGCAGGAUGUGAAAGGCUACGGCUCAACCGUAGACAUGCACCCUGAACUGGGUCACUUGAGUAUUGGAGAGGCAGGCAGAAUUCCUGGUGUAGCGGUGAGAUGCGUAGAUAUCAGGAGGAAUACCGGAGGCGAAGGCGGCCUGCUGGACAAAUACUGACGCUGAGGCGCGAAAGCGUGGGGAGCAAAC